Molecule: non-coding RNA, 27 nt
Filed under: Mus musculus (house mouse)
Lineage: Eukaryota; Metazoa; Chordata; Mammalia; Rodentia; Muridae
Source: RNAcentral
UAAACAUGUCUCCGAUCAUUUCUGCCU